This 293-nucleotide ribosomal RNA is filed under the name uncultured bacterium. RNAcentral describes it as "partial 16S ribosomal RNA". It matches the Rfam family "Bacterial small subunit ribosomal RNA", at positions 28 to 322 of the family's 1533-position model. The record is from RNAcentral.
GACGAACGCUGGCGGCGUGCUUAACACAUGCAAGUCGAGCGGUAAGGCCCUUUCGGGGGUACACGAGCGGCGAACGGGUGAGUAACACGUGGGUGACCUGCCCUUAGCUCUGGGAUAAGCCUGGGAAACUGGGUCUAAUACCGGAUAUGACUCCAUGACGCAUGUUGUGGGGUGGAAAGCCUUGUGCGGCUAGGGAUGGGCCCGCGGCCUAUCAGCUUGUUGGUGGGGUGAUGGCCACCAAGGCGACGACGGGUAGCCGGCCUGAGAGGGCGACCGGCCACACUGGGGACUGA